This 497-nucleotide ribosomal RNA is filed under the name uncultured bacterium. RNAcentral's name for it is "partial 16S ribosomal RNA". It matches the Rfam family "Bacterial small subunit ribosomal RNA", at positions 28 to 507 of the family's 1533-position model. The record is from RNAcentral.
GAUGAACGCUGGCGGCGUGCCUAAUACAUGCAAGUAGAACGCUGAAGGAAGGAGCUUGCUCUUUCCGGAUGAGUUGCGAACGGGUGAGUAACGCGUAGGUAACCUGCCUGGUAGCGGGGGAUAACUAUUGGAAACGAUAGCUAAUACCGCAUAACAGUAGAUGUUGCAUGAUAUCUACUUAAAAGGUGCAAUUGCACCACUACCAGAUGGACCUGCGUUGUAUUAGCUAGUUGGUGAGGUAACGGCUCACCAAGGCGACGAUACAUAGCCGACCUGAGAGGGUGAUCGGCCACACUGGGACGGGGACACGGCCCAGACUCCUACGGGAGGCAGCAGUAGGGAAUCUUCGGCAAUGGACGGAAGUCUGACCGAGCAACGCCGCGGGAGUGAAGAAGGUUGUCGGAUCGUAAAGCUCUGUUGUAAGAGAAGAACGAGUGUGAGAGUGGAAAGUUCACACUGUGACGGUAUCUGACCAGAAAGGGACGGCUAACUACGUG